UGUGGCCGAAAGGGAAAGAUUUAUUGCCUGAAGAUGAGCUCGCGUCUGAUUAGCUAGUUGGUGUGGUAAGAGCGCACCAAGGCGACGAUCAGUAGCUGGUCUGAGAGGAUGAUCAGCCACACUGGGACUGAGACACGGCCCAGACUCCUACGGGAGGCAGCAGUGGGGAAUUUUCCGCAAUGGGCGAAAGCCUGACGGAGCAAUACCGCGUGAGGGAGGAAGGCUCUUGGGUUGUAAACCUCUUUUCUCAGGGAAUAAGUUCUGAAGGUACCUGAGGAAUAAGCAUCGGCUAACUCCGUGCCAGCAGCCGCGGUAAUACGGAGGAUGCAAGCGUUAUCCGGAAUGAUUGGGCGUAAAGCGUCCGCAGGUGGCACUGUAAGUCUGCUGUUAAAGAGCAAGGCUCAACCUUGUAAAGGCAGUGGAAACUACAGAGCUAGAGUACGUUCGGGGCAGAGGGAAUUCCUGGUGUAGCGGUGAAAUGCGUAGAGAUCAGGAAGAACACCGGUGGCGAAAGCGCUCUGCUAGGCCGUAACUGACACUGAGGGACGAAAGCUAGGGGAGCGAAUGGGAUUAGAUACACCAAAUUAAGUCACAGGGGGAGGGGGGGGGUACCUGAUCCCAUUAUCACCUUCCCCCACCCGCCCGGAGGGGGAGGGGGGGGAUCUCAUCCCAUUGCCGCACGUCCCCCCCCCCGGCGGAGUCGGGGUUUACUGGCAAGAUUUUAAGCGGUGAACCCGCCAUAGAGGAAGCCGUA
Molecule: ribosomal RNA, 754 nt
Filed under: Anabaena sp. LCR2NK
Lineage: Bacteria; Bacillati; Cyanobacteriota; Cyanophyceae; Nostocales; Nostocaceae
Description: partial 16S ribosomal RNA
Rfam family: Bacterial small subunit ribosomal RNA (bases 1-643)
Source: RNAcentral